AGUAAUGUAUGGGGAUCUGCCCGAUAGAGGGGGAUAACUACUGGAAACGGUGGCUAAUACCGCAUAAUGUCUACGGACCAAAGCAGGGGCUCUUCGGACCUUGCACUAUCGGAUGAACCCAUAUGGGAUUAGCUAGUAGGUGGGGUAAAGGCUCACCUAGGCGACGAUCUCUAGCUGGUCUGAGGGGAUGAUCAGCCACACUGGGACUGAGACACGGCCCAG
RNAcentral lists this ribosomal RNA (222 nucleotides) under uncultured bacterium. RNAcentral's name for it is "partial 16S ribosomal RNA". It matches the Rfam family "Bacterial small subunit ribosomal RNA", at positions 109 to 334 of the family's 1533-position model. The record is from RNAcentral.